This 440-nucleotide ribosomal RNA is filed under the name Thylacodes decussatus. RNAcentral's name for it is "partial small subunit ribosomal RNA". It matches the Rfam family "Bacterial small subunit ribosomal RNA", at positions 875 to 1520 of the family's 1533-position model. Lineage: Eukaryota; Metazoa; Mollusca; Gastropoda; Littorinimorpha; Vermetidae. The record is from RNAcentral.
UUCUGAGUAUAAAUUUUUUGAUGCUAGAGGAUUACGAGCUGUACGCUUAAAACUCAAAAUACUUGGCGGUGCUGCUAGUCUGCUUAGGGGAGCUUGCUUCAUAAACGAUAGUCCACGUAAAACCUUACCUGAGCUAGCUUAGUUUAUAUACCGUCGUCGGCAGUUAACUUUUGAGAAAAGAGAAGUUGGCUUUAGAAUUACAGUAAUUUUUGACGUCAGAUCGAGGUGUAGCUGAUGCUGAAGGAGAGAGUGAGCUACAGUUAAAAUUUAUAAAGACGGAGCCGUGGCUGAAAUGCCAGUGUGUGAAGGUGGACUUAAAAGUAAUUAAAUAUAUAUAAAUUUGUUGAAGUUAGUUCUGAAGUGUGUACAUAUCGCCCGUCGCUCUCGUUGAAAAAUGAGAUAAGUCGUAACAUAGUAGGGAUAACGGAAGUUGUUCCUGG